UGGAUUGCAGUUCCAUGGAAAAGAUGUCAAACCUAUCGAAAUUGAGAAAGCUAAGGAAGCUAAGAGUAGGAGAAUGUCCAAAGUUAAGAAGCUUGGAAGGUCUAAAUCACUUGGAAUCUUUACAGAAGUUGUGGAUUCAUGAUUGCUGCUCGUUGGAGAGUUUGGCUGACACCUCAAAUUUGCGUUUAGAAUGUUCCACAAUUGAACAUUGUGAGCAGUUGCCCAACCGUAACAAUUACUGCAGAUGUCAUGACAACAGAGAUUCAGAUACUGAACCUAACCAUGCCAAGUAUUUUUGAGCCGGUUACACUAAGCCCGACCUGACGAAAGUCCGUUGAAGUCGGAUGGUCUGAAGAAGGUUUUCCCAUGACAAUAUUGGGAACAAGUACGACCCAUUAAGAUUGAAAGCCAAUUUGAAGAUGAGAUGAUGUAGAGAGAAGUACGUUGAGAAGAUUGGCCCAAUGACCUCGACCAAGAAUGACCAGAAUUCAGUGACUUUCACCCCAUUCUCUUUUUGCUAUCGUAAGUAGAUUUGAAUUUUACGUGUCAUAACCAUAUUCUCGUCAUUGGGUGAAUACGACCUUGUUAUAACCAUGGAGUUUCCGUCCAGCAUGUUCUCGCGUAGCAUCUGCAUUUCCUAAAACUUUCCAUUUCCUGGUAAUCAGUCUCGGUUCUGUUUUCUUCUUAAUUUGGAUAUGAAGCAGAGGCCCAGGGCUCUAGCUCCAGCCUGUGUGAAAAUCGGCUGCCAUUGAGGCUCUAUUAAUUAUCUGAACUUGCUGCGCUGCCUUUGUGGUAA
Long non-coding RNA from Eucalyptus grandis, 796 nucleotides. RefSeq lists it as uncharacterized. Lineage: Eukaryota; Viridiplantae; Streptophyta; Magnoliopsida; Myrtales; Myrtaceae. The transcript has 2 exons. The record is from RefSeq and is a predicted model, not a curated record.